This 74-nucleotide transfer RNA is filed under the name Betaproteobacteria bacterium. RNAcentral's name for it is "tRNA-Ile". It matches the Rfam family "tRNA". From Rfam's summary of the family: Transfer RNA (tRNA) molecules are approximately 80 nucleotides in length. Their secondary structure includes four short double-helical elements and three loops (D, anti-codon, and T loops). Lineage: Bacteria; Pseudomonadati; Pseudomonadota; Betaproteobacteria. The record is from RNAcentral.
GGAUCCGUAGCUCAGCGUAGAGCACGUGGCUCAUAACCACGCGGUCGCAAGCUCGUUGCUUGCCGGAUCCACCA